Molecule: transfer RNA, 77 nt
Filed under: Desulfuromonas sp.
Lineage: Bacteria; Pseudomonadati; Thermodesulfobacteriota; Desulfuromonadia; Desulfuromonadales; Desulfuromonadaceae
Also listed under: 9 other names
Description: tRNA-Pro
Rfam family: tRNA
About the family: Transfer RNA (tRNA) molecules are approximately 80 nucleotides in length. Their secondary structure includes four short double-helical elements and three loops (D, anti-codon, and T loops).
Source: RNAcentral
CGGAGCGUAGCGCAGCCUGGUAGCGCGCUUGGUUUGGGACCAAGAUGUCGGAGGUUCGAAUCCUCUCGCUCCGACCA